AAAGAUAUUUAAAAUUAAUUUGCAAAAUUAAUGUGCCUUGCAUAAAGGUAUCUUUU
This 56-nucleotide transfer RNA is filed under the name Neoseiulus californicus. RNAcentral's name for it is "tRNA-Cys". Lineage: Eukaryota; Metazoa; Arthropoda; Arachnida; Mesostigmata; Phytoseiidae. The record is from RNAcentral.